GGAGGAAUAUUGGUCAAUGGGCGAGAGCCUGAACCAGCCAAGUAGCGUGCAGGACGACGGCCCUAUGGGUUGUAAACUGCUUUUAUAUGGGGAUAAAGUGAGUUACGUGUAGCUUAUUGCAGGUACCAUAUGAAUAAGGACCGGCUAAUUCCGUGCCAGCAGCCGCGGUAAUACGGAAGGUCCAGGCGUUAUCCGGAUUUAUUGGGUUUAAAGGGAGCGUAGGCCGCCCCUUAAGCGUGUUGUGAAAUGCCGCGGCUCAACCGUGGCACUGCAGCGCGAACUGGGGGGCUUGAGUGCACGCAACGCAGGCGGAAUUCGUGGUGUAGCGGUGAAAUGCUUAGAUAUCACGAAGAACUCCGAUUGCGAAGGCAGCUUGCGGGAGUGCGACUGACGCUGAAGCUC
RNAcentral lists this ribosomal RNA (402 nucleotides) under uncultured Prevotella sp. RNAcentral describes it as "bacterial SSU rRNA". It matches the Rfam family "Bacterial small subunit ribosomal RNA", at positions 355 to 754 of the family's 1533-position model. Lineage: Bacteria; Pseudomonadati; Bacteroidota; Bacteroidia; Bacteroidales; Prevotellaceae. The record is from RNAcentral.